AGUGAACGCUGGCGGUAGGCCUAACACAUGCAAGUCGAACGGCAGCACAGUAAGAGCUUGCUCUUACGGGUGGCGAGUGGCGGACGGGUGAGGAAUACAUCGGAUUCUACUUUUUCGUGGGGGAUAACGUAGGGAAACUUACGCUAAUACCGCAUACGACCUACGGGUGAAAGCAGGGGAUCUUCGGACCUUGCGCGAUUGAAUGAGCCGAUGUCGGAUUAGCUAGUUGGCGGGGUAAAGGCCCACCAAGGCGACGAUCCGUAGCUGGUCUGAGAGGAUGAUCAGCCACACUGGAACUGGGACACGGUCCAGACUCCUACGGGAGGCAGCAGUGGGGAAUAUUGGGCAAUGGGCGCAAGCCUGAUCCAGCCAUACCGCGUGGGUGAAGAAGGCCUUCGGGUUGUAAAGCCCUUUUGUUGGGAAAGAAAAGCAGCAGGUUAAUACCCCGCUGUUCUGACGGUACCCAAAGAAUAAGCACCGGCUAACUUCGUG
Molecule: ribosomal RNA, 492 nt
Filed under: uncultured bacterium
Lineage: Bacteria
Description: partial 16S ribosomal RNA
Rfam family: Bacterial small subunit ribosomal RNA
Source: RNAcentral